This 357-nucleotide long non-coding RNA is filed under the name Paramuricea clavata. The record is from RNAcentral. Lineage: Eukaryota; Metazoa; Cnidaria; Anthozoa; Malacalcyonacea; Plexauridae.
UAGUCUAGGACCUGUAUAUGAGUUUGUAUGCAUUUCAUUUAGGACAGAUAAUCUCAACUGUUUUAGGGUAAGUUGACCAUGACGGUCAACAUGGUAACGCUGCCCGAACCCCAAUCCGGGGCGAAACGUCCCGAACUGACCACACCCAAAAACGACGCUUUCGCCAGACUGCUAUCUACCAAACCAUAAAAGCUUUGGCUAUUCUGAGGUGCUUAUAUGGUUCAGAGAUGGUACUUUUGGGGAUGGUCAUUGGUAAGUGUGAAAUGCCUAGCACUAAUAUUUCACAAGAAAAUGACCAUGCAAUAAUCAUAGUUAAACGUCAAUUUGUGGCUUGCAACUUCAGAUAAACAGCAGUGG